GUCCCUGUAGCGCAAGGAUAGUGCAUUGGACUCCUAAACCAAUAAUCGUGGAUUCGAAUCCCACCGGGGAUG
Non-coding RNA from Trichonephila clavata, 72 nucleotides. Lineage: Eukaryota; Metazoa; Arthropoda; Arachnida; Araneae; Nephilidae. The record is from the annotation of a GenBank genome assembly.